Molecule: ribosomal RNA, 248 nt
Filed under: uncultured bacterium
Lineage: Bacteria
Description: partial 16S ribosomal RNA
Rfam family: Bacterial small subunit ribosomal RNA
Source: RNAcentral
AGAUGGCGACCGGCGCACGGGUGAGUAACACGUAUCCAACCUGCCGAUAACUCGGGGAUAGCCUUUCGAAAGAAAGAUUAAUACCCGAUGGCAUAAUUAGACCGCAUGGUCUUAUUAUUAAAGAAUUUCGGUUAUCGAUGGGGAUGCGUUCCAUUAGGCAGUUGGUGAGGUAACGGCUCACCAAACCUUCGAUGGAUAGGGGUUCUGAGAGGAAGGUCCCCCACAUUGGAACUCGAGACACGGUCCAA